RNAcentral lists this ribosomal RNA (456 nucleotides) under uncultured bacterium. RNAcentral's name for it is "bacterial SSU rRNA". It matches the Rfam family "Bacterial small subunit ribosomal RNA", at positions 340 to 786 of the family's 1533-position model. The record is from RNAcentral.
UACGGGAGGCAGCAGUGGGGAAUAUUGCACAAUGGGCGAAAGCCUGAUGCAGCUAUGCCGCGUGUAUGAAGAAGGCCUUAGGGUUGUAAAGUACUUUUCAUCGGGGAGGAAAAACAAAACUAAUAAUUUUAUUUCUUGACGUUACCCGAAAAAGAAGCACCGGCUAACUCCGUGCCAGCAGCCGCGGUAAUACGGAGGGUGCUAGCGUUAAUCAGAAUUACUGGGCGUAAAGAGCACGUAGGUGGUUUUUUUAAAGUCAGAUGUGAAAUCCCUGGGCUUAACCUAGGAACUGCAUUUUGAAACUGAAAUACUAGAGUAUCGUAGAGGGAGGUAGAAUUCUAGGUGUAGCGGUGAAAUGCGUAGAUAUCUGGAGGAAUACCUGUGGCGAAAGCGGCCUCCUAAACGAAUACUGACACUGAGGUGCGAAAGCGUGGGGAGCAAACAGGAUUAGAUACC